AUGGUAGGAUAGAGGCCUACCAUGGUUUUAACGGGUAACGGGGAAUUAGGGUUCGAUUCCGGAGAGGGAGCCUGAGAAACGGCUACCACAUCCAAGGAAGGCAGCAGGCGCGCAAAUUACCCAAUCCCGACACGGGGAGGUAGUGACAAUAAAUAACAAUAUGGGGCUCUUACGAGUCUUGUAAUUGGAAUGAGUACAAUUUAAAUCUCUUAACGAGGAACAAUUGGAGGGCAAGUCUGGUGCCAGCAGCCGCGGUAAUUCCAGCUCCAAUAGCGUAUAUNAAAGUUGUUGCAGUUAAAAAGCUCGUAGUUGAAUUUCGGGAUUUAUCCGUCGGUCGGGCUUUUGGGUCUGUACUGGCGUGAUGGAUUCCUACCUUCUGAAUAACCGGCAUGUCAUUAAUUUGGUGCGCCGGGGAAGCAGGACUGUUACCUUGAAAAAAUUAGAGUGCUUAAAGCAGGCUUAUGCCUGAAUACAUUAGCAUGGAAUAAUGAAAUAGGACGGCAUGGUUCUAUUUUGUUGGUUUCUAGGAUCACCGUAAUGAUUAAUAGGGAUAGUUGGGGGCAUUAGUAUUCAAUUGUCAGAGGUGAAAUUCUUGGAUUUAUUGAAGACUAACUUCUGCGAAAGCAUUUGCCAAGGAUGUUUUCAUUAAUCAAGAACGAAAGUUAGGAGAUCGAAGACGAUCAGAUACCGUCGUAGUCUUAACCAUAAACUAUGCCGACUAGGGAUCGGACGAUGUUAAUUUUUUAAUGACUCGUUCGGCGCCUUACGGGAAACCAAAGUGUUUGGG
RNAcentral lists this ribosomal RNA (787 nucleotides) under uncultured Acaulospora. Its description in RNAcentral is "SSU rRNA". It matches the Rfam family "Eukaryotic small subunit ribosomal RNA", at positions 325 to 1111 of the family's 1831-position model. The record is from RNAcentral. Lineage: Eukaryota; Fungi; Glomeromycota; Glomeromycetes; Diversisporales; Acaulosporaceae.